CGGGCUGCCAAGGAAGCAAAAAAGGCU
This 27-nucleotide non-coding RNA is filed under the name Cricetulus griseus (Chinese hamster). The record is from RNAcentral. Lineage: Eukaryota; Metazoa; Chordata; Mammalia; Rodentia; Cricetidae.